GCAGAAUUAAGAAGCUAAUUGAAUACUUGCGGUGCAUUAAUUGGUAACAUUUCAUUACCAAUGAUGUUACAAGUACAUCAGCACGAUUAUAUAACAUUAGAAAUUGAUUUGCGUGCAGAUAACAAGGACCAAUUUGUCUAGAUUUUUAGGCAACAAGCAUUACUGAAAAUGGGAAAUGAGAGUUGGACUUAAAGAAAACCAACCACACUAACAUUCAUUUAAAGCCUGGAGAACAUCACAGCAUCCUGAAAAUCAUUUUACGCAAGCUGACCAGAAGUUGAAUAAGUUGUCUAGUUUGCUUAGGACUGCAAUUUGGCUUUCAAUGCCUCCAUCACUGCAGAAAAGUCACUAUCACUAAGGCCAUGACUUUUAGCUACCUUGUAUAGUUCAUUUGCAGCUGCAGCAAUUGGAGUUGGUUGGGAAACAGAUUCUGCUAAUCCCAGUGCAAGUCUCAAGUCCUUCUGCUGAUGCUUCAAGGGGAAAGCAGUAGGGUAUGCAUAUUUGAUCAUAGAUGGACCUUUCAAGGAGUACAUUGGUGCGCUAAUGGCACCCUGCGACACAACCUGCAAUACCGCCAAUGUAUCCUUGAAAAGUAAGUUUCAACAGAGAUUUGAAAUAGGAAAAUUACUUAAUCAGUGAGAUGACCAUGGAAGUAAGAAAAAGAGUAUGUGCCGUGUCAGAAGGGACGAGAAAGGUUCAUAACAGUUUAUCAGCUGGCAAGAUCACCUCCUAAAUAAUAAAUUCUAGUGUCCAGUUACAAAUUGUAUGGCUAAUUCCACCUUAUAGAAUGACAAGCAAGGUCCUGUAACAGCUAUUUAACUAUGUUCCUACAGUUCCCCAAGGCCACUUCAUUUAAAGAAGUAUCCACUAACAGUUGACAAGUGAGGAAAAUUUGCAUGUCCAGAGCAUAAAAAUAAAGAGAACUAUGAUUAGCUGUAAUCCCACAAAAACAAGCAUGAGGAAGAAUUCAAUCAAUUUACUCGGAAUUUUGUGAAAUUAAUGCAAAAAAUGCAAUCCGAUAAGAUGUUUAGGUUUAUUAAUACCUCAACUAGUACAUUUGGGUCCAAUCCUACUUUCUCACUGAGAAGCAAUCCUUCAGAAAAAGUUGCCAUCAUACUGUAAAUUGUUGAGAACACCAGGUGUCACAAUCUCAAUGAGUACAACCACAAAAUAAAAGCAAUGAAUAGGAAAGAGAGUCUUUAGAACCUUCCCAUGAUCAUGUUGACAACAAGUUUCAUUGCGGCCCCAUUUCCAACAUCCCCGAGGUAAAAUCUCGACUGGAUAAAAUCACAAAUAAAUGUGAAACAGUAGUGGUAAUUGCAAUCCUGGUCCUGGGUAAUAAACAAAAGAAAGAUACCUUCCCCAUGAUGUCUAAGUACAGAGCCACUGUUUCAUACAGAGAUUUGUCACCUGAAAGAUGGCACCUUAUGCUUCAGUUUCUACUAGGCCAUUCACUGUGUUAUUGAACACAGAUAAAAAAGGUUAUAGGUUAUAUUAUGAUUAGGGCCAGACAAAAAUAAAAUAGCAGAAAAGAUUUGAAAUUAACCAAUUGGUGACCUAAACUUCCAAAUAUUUCAAAGAUCUAGAUUGUGCAAAAAGUUGGAAUGAAAUUAAAUAGAGUCAACUACAAGUACUGGUUUGAGUCUUAAGAGCAACCAGAGCCACUCUGUGCAAAAACAUUGAAGGGUAGGAGGUAGGACCUCUCUACAUUCUCCCUUCCAAGUACUUACCUUUACAGGACCAUAAAUUUGUAAUGGCCCCAACAGGUUUGAACAUAUUAGAUUAUAAGAAAAAUUACCACUUACCUGCUGUAAGAAAUAUAAGUUGCCCAUCUUCUGCUGGUUUUUUAGAGCCAGAAACAGGAGCCUAAGGGAAAACACUUGAACUUUAGAGAGCAUGCCUUCAAAUACCAUUGUCAUGUAACUUCAACUAAUAGAGCAAAUAUUUCAGUUACAAUAAGAAGAUGUCUUCACCUCCAAAAAUGAUGCCCCAGUGGCUUUGACAUGUCCAUUAAUCAAUUUAGAAGUUUCACCAUCAACGGUUGAAACAUCCACAUAACUGCCAAUGUUGUACAGGUAUAACCGUUUAAGAAAGACAAAAAACAUAAAAAAGACAAGUGAUAGAUGAGAAUCAACUCUUUUUGUCUUAACCAGUUGAUAUUAUAUGAUGCCAUUUCAUAAGCCAAACCAGGUGUGGAUUUAGGAAUUCCCUCUAAUAAAAUCUACUGCCUAUUGAUGAAAGUUAGAAACCAAAGUCAGUGUCAUUCUGGAAGGUGGAUCAGCUAGCAAGCAAGUGUUUGUUCCUUGAAAUGAUUUGUGUAUUAAUUAUGCUUAUAUAAAGGUAACAAAAGGAAUCUGCAAGGUCAGAAAAUUUGAUAUUAUUAAGGAUCUUCCUUGGAAGGGAUAGCAAAAAGAAAAUAUACUGAACACAGAUCCAAGGAAAUAGAAAGCCUGCAACAUAUAAUUUUUUACUCUUCAAUGAAGAAGCAGACAGCGCCUUUUUCUAGGAAUUAAAGCAUUAAACAAUGGCAGCAACUUCCAAAUUGCAAGAUUAACUGACUUAAUCAACUAUCUGCACAAAAUGUUCUGGUGUGAUGCUAAUAGGAGAUGGUCGGAAGAACACAGAAAGAAAACAGAGAUACUAUCAUGAAGGAAAAUGUGAAAUACCCUUUUCCUGGGCCCAAACCACUCACUGCUCCAUGCUUUCCACAUGCAACCUCCACCUGAAUGAUGCAGAUAUAAGUUAUUGCGUAUAAGAUAUUUACAAGCAGGCAGCUGACAUGAAAACAUACGCACUGCACUUUCAGGAUCAGCAAGCAUGGCAAAUGUAACAUCACAAGCACCAGCUACUUCUUCAGGAGAAGCUUUAUAUCUGCAUAAGUGAACAACUAUUCAUGAGAAAUGCUUCUUGCAAAGCAUGGAUGAGGAUCUUGAAAGCAUGCAUCAGAAGAGUUGAGAUGAAAACCAAAAAAUAGUGAACCAAGAAAAAUGUUUUAAAUGUCAGGGAAAAUAAUACCAAUAAGUUUACUGCAAAUAGAAAAGGAAAAUACAUAAAUAAAUAAAAUAUGUAUACACGUGCAUCUUCUAAUUUGUACCAAGGUUAUGUUGUUUAUUAUUUGUUUUGUAAAAACUAUGUAAAUCGAUGACAUGAUACUCAUACAAAAUCCUCAUCUUUUCUUGAGCAUCAACAACAGUGAUGAAGGUGCUCAAGGCCUGUAGUUUUAAUAUAAGCACACCUAUGCAUAACUACAUUGUAGCGCAGUGAUGGAAAUGGAAUUCUGUACGUGAGAUUUUAAGUUCUACCAGUAGCUUAAACUACAAAAAGCUGAGCUUCCUCCAAACAGUUAAUUUACAGUCACUAGUAGAUGAACCAAAAACACAUGAGCAUGAGGAAAUAGGCAUGUAUAUCCCCUCAUAUCUUCAAUUUCAGUAUAACACUUGCUGCAGUAACAAAUCUGCUUUAUUU
RNAcentral lists this unclassified non-coding RNA (3465 nucleotides) under Hevea brasiliensis (rubber tree). The record is from RNAcentral. Lineage: Eukaryota; Viridiplantae; Streptophyta; Magnoliopsida; Malpighiales; Euphorbiaceae.